GACGAACGCUGGCGGCGUGCCUAACACAUGCAGGUCGAACGAGGUCCGAGGAAGCUUGCUUCCUGAAGACCUAGUGGCGAACGGGUGAGUAACACGUGAGAAACCUGCCUCGGAGUGGGGAAUAACUCGGGGAAACUCGAGCUAAUACCGCAUACCUUCACAUGAUCGCAUGGUCGAGUGAAGAAAGAAUUUCGCUCUGAGAGGGUCUCGCGGCCUAUCAGCUUGUUGGUGGGGUAACGGCCUACCAAGGCAACGACGGGUAGCUGGUUUGAGAGAACGAUCAGCCACACUGGGACUGAGACACGGCCCAGACUCCUACGGGAGGCAGCAGUGGGGAAUCUUGCGCAAUGGGCGAAAGCCUGACGCAGCAACGCCGCGUGCGGGAUGACGCCUUCGUGGUUGUAAACCGCUUUCAGCA
RNAcentral lists this ribosomal RNA (418 nucleotides) under uncultured bacterium. Its description in RNAcentral is "bacterial SSU rRNA". It matches the Rfam family "Bacterial small subunit ribosomal RNA", at positions 28 to 441 of the family's 1533-position model. The record is from RNAcentral.